CCUUCUUUGUAGAAUUAAGAUAAUUUUGAUUUUGUAGCCUUUGAGCUAAAAUAACUUUUGUAAAGAUUAAGCUCACUUAGAUUUUUUUUAAAGUAUUGCAGCGGGAUCUGCUGCAGGGUUCUGUUGUUUUGUUUUGCUUAUUUUUAAAUUAACUGUUCAAGCUUUUGGAUACUGCAGGCUUUAGAGGGAGAACCCAAAUUUUCAAUUAUGUUGGCUUUUUAUAAAGCUUGAGUUAUGUAAGAUUUAAAUAAAAGUUUGCUACCAAGAUGAUUGCCUUAUUGAAUAGGUCACUCCUAAGGCCCUUUAAGUGUUGAUACCUGCCAUUGGUGGAGACAGUGUAAAUUCUACAGAAGUGUAAAACAAGGCAAGCCUCAGACCAGCAAUAAAUUAUUCAGUUUGGCUAACCUUAUUUUGUGCUGUUAAUCAAAUCUACCAAAGUCUUUUG
RNAcentral lists this long non-coding RNA (445 nucleotides) under Androctonus crassicauda. Lineage: Eukaryota; Metazoa; Arthropoda; Arachnida; Scorpiones; Buthidae. The record is from RNAcentral.